RNAcentral lists this ribosomal RNA (505 nucleotides) under uncultured Methanothermobacter sp. RNAcentral describes it as "bacterial SSU rRNA". It matches the Rfam family "Archaeal small subunit ribosomal RNA", at positions 504 to 1007 of the family's 1478-position model. Lineage: Archaea; Methanobacteriati; Methanobacteriota; Methanobacteria; Methanobacteriales; Methanobacteriaceae. The record is from RNAcentral.
UUGGUCUUAAAGCGUCCGUAGCCGGUCUGAUAAGUCUAUGGUGAAAUCCCACAGCUUAACUGUGGGAAUUGCUGGAGAUACUAUCAUGACUCGAGGUCGGGAGAGGCUGGAGGUACUCCCAGGGUAGGGGUGAAAUCCUGUAAUCCUGGGAGGACCACCUGUGGCGAAGGCGUCCAGCUGGAACGAACCUGACGGUGAGGGACGAAAGCCAGGGGCGCGAACCGGAUUAGAUACCCGGGUAGUCCUGGCCGUAAACGAUGUGGACUUGGUGUUGGGAUGGCUUCGAGAGGCCCCCAGUGCCGAAGGGAAGCUGUUAAGUCCGCCGCCUGGGAAGUACGGUCGCAAGACUGAAACUUAAAGGUAUUGGCGGGGGAGCACCACAACGCGUGGAGCCUGCGGUUUAAUUGGAUUCAACGCCGGACAUCUCACCAGGGGCGACAGCAGUAUGAUAGCCAGGUUGAUGACCUUGCUGACAAGCUGAGAGGAGGUGCAUGGCCGCCGUCAG